GAACUGAAGAGUUUGAUCCUGGCUCAGAUUGAACGCUGGCGGCAUGCUUUACACAUGCAAGUCGAACGGCAGCGCGGGGCAACCUGGCGGCGAGUGGCGAACGGGUGAGUAAUAUAUCGGAACGUACCCAAGAGUGGGGGAUAACGUAGCGAAAGUUACGCUAAUACCGCAUACGAUCUAAGGAUGAAAGCGGGGGAUCGCAAGACCUCGUGCUCCUGGAGCGGCCGAUAUCUGAUUAGCUAGUUGGUGAGGUAAAGGCUCACCAAGGCGACGAUCAGUAGCUGGUCUGAGAGGACGACCAGCCACACUGGAACUGAGACACGGUCCAGACUCCUAC
Molecule: ribosomal RNA, 337 nt
Filed under: Massilia sp. IC2-278
Lineage: Bacteria; Pseudomonadati; Pseudomonadota; Betaproteobacteria; Burkholderiales; Oxalobacteraceae
Description: bacterial SSU rRNA
Rfam family: Bacterial small subunit ribosomal RNA
Source: RNAcentral